GCUUAUCAUGCAGUCGAGGGGCAGCGCAGUGUAGCAAUACAUGGGCGGCGACCGGCAAACGGGUGCGGAACACGUACGCAACCUUCCUUCAAAUGGGGGAUAGCCCACCGAAAGGUGGAUUAAUACCCCGUAACAUUUUCUGGUGGCAUCACCGGAUUAUUAUAGCUCCGGCGUUUGAAGAUGGGCGUGCGCCUGAUUAGGUAGUUGGCGGAGUAACAGCCCGCCAAGCCUACGAUCAGUAACUGGUGUGAGAGCACGACCAGUCACACGGGCACUGAGACACGGGCCCGACUCCUACGGGAGGCAGCAGUAAGGAAUAUUGGUCAAUGGACGCAAGUCUGAACCAGCCAUGCCGCGUGGAGGAUGAAGGUCCUCUGGAUUGUAAACUUCUUUUAUCGGAGAAGAAACCCUCAAAUUCUUUUGGGGUUGACGGUACCCGAUGAAUAAGCACCGGCUAACUCCGUGCCAGCAGCCGCGGUAAUACGGAGGGUGCAAGCGUUAUCCGGAUUCACUGGGUUUAAAGGGAGCGUAGGUGGGCUGGUAAGUCAGUGGUGAAAUCUCCGGGCUUAACUCGGAAACUGCCGUUGAUACUAUCAGUCUUGAAUAUUGUGGAGGUAAGCGGAAUAUGUCAUGUAGCGGUGAAAUGCUUAGAUAUGACAUAGAACACCGAUAGCGAAGGCAGCUUGCUACACAAUUAUUGACACUGAGGCUCGAAAGCGUGGGGAUCAAACAGGAUUAGAUACCCUGGUAGUCCACGCCCUAAACGAUGGAUACUCGACAUACGCGAUACACAGUGUGUGUCUGAGCGAAAGCAUUAAGUAUCCCACCUGGGAAGUACGACCGCAAGGUUU
RNAcentral lists this ribosomal RNA (851 nucleotides) under uncultured bacterium. RNAcentral describes it as "bacterial SSU rRNA". It matches the Rfam family "Bacterial small subunit ribosomal RNA", at positions 46 to 896 of the family's 1533-position model. The record is from RNAcentral.